Molecule: long non-coding RNA, 6252 nt
Organism: Caretta caretta (loggerhead turtle)
Lineage: Eukaryota; Metazoa; Chordata; Testudines; Cheloniidae
Source: RefSeq, a predicted model, not a curated record
CUCGGGGAGAAAGUUUCACCUCGGCUGGGGAAGGAGCGCGGAGCCCGGGACGGAGAGAGCGAGAGCCAGAAGGGACCAUUGGGAUCACCUAGUCUGGUCUACUAUAGGCCAGUGAACUUUCCUGAAUUAAUUCCUGUUUGAACUAGAGGUGAUCUUGAUUGAAAAAUUGCCAGGGGUGGAGAAUCCCCCACAACCCUUGCUCUGGUUCCUGAGGCGUUACUCCCGAAAAGCCCCAGCAAAAGAAUGUACGAAGAGCUGUGAAAAUGGAGACUUGCUCCUUCCUGCAGCUGUGACCCCUCCAUGGCCUGGGGCACCUCAAUACUUCAUCCUGCUCCUGUGAGGGGCCCUACCUAGCCCAGGCCCCCUCAGCCCUGGGCCCCCCAGCCCUGUGGGGGUGGGUGAGAAGGGGCAAUUUCCUAGCUGCUGAGGAGGAGGUGAGAGGGGAUGAGGGGUACGGCAGAUCCCCACCGCCACCACGCCGCCAUCCUGGGCUCUUUUCACAUUGUGCUACUGUCUGAGCCCCUGCCAAGCAGUGCAAUGUCAAAAGGGCAUCGGGCGGGCGGUGCCAGCAGCGCCUUGCCCAGUGCCUCCACCACUCUGCCUCUGGGGGUCUGGGAGAAGGAGGGCAGAGUGGGAUCUGCAGGGGGACACAGACCUCCUCUCCCAGAGUGGGGCAGAGGAGGGGAGGAAGAGGGGCUUUGAUGCAGGGGAGGGGUGCUGUGCUGGGGGCAAGGGUGUCAGGAACUCAGCGGCCUAGCAACCUAAUGAGCUCAUUUGGUUCAAUGAACCUAGGUGACUGUGCUCCCUGACUGGACCGAAGGGCCAUCAGGUCACCAGUUAACCGCGUAGCAACAGCAGCACCGUGGCUGCUCAAUGCAUUCUAUGCUCCCAGCUGCGCCAGACCUGCUUCCUGCUGGCCCUUGCCCCACUCUUUGCAAGCUCCACUCCAGCUCUUCCCUCUGGACUCCUGCCCUCUGGUUCUGAUUAAUGGCUUGUCCCCGGGCCACGACUCCAGUUCUGCUCUCUGAGUCUGCUCCAACCACUAGGCCAGACUCCUGCUCUGACCACUUGGUCUCACCGCCUACCCCUUGGCAUGCGACAGUUUGUCCAGCCUGUUAGAAGGUAGCCAGGGCUUUGCCGCACAGCAUGGAGCUUCCAUCCAGAAUGGCCCCAGCAGGAGCUCACCCCACCUUUGCAGACAUUGUUGGAGUCCUGCAGGAACUGCAGGCUCAAGUUGACACGCUACGUGACAAGAAUGCAGCCUUCCAGGCCCAGGUACAAGCCCAGGCAGCGUCUUCUGUCCCCACAACCUUGCAUCCAUUUUCUGUGAGCCCGAGUUGCCCCUACCCAGUAAGUUUUAUGGGGAUUGUGCCAAAUGACAUGGGUUCCUUAACCAUUGUCAUCUCCAGUUCGUGUUGUGGCCAGUCGGACCCUACAGCUCAGUUCCAAGUGGAAUUAGUUCUCAGUCUGUUCUGAGGAGAGGCCCUGACGUGGGUGUCCCCUUUCGUGGAAGGGGACAGUCCUCUCCUUGAACACUGUGAGAGCUUUGUACAGGCAGGGUGGGCAUCUCUGUGAACCCUAAUGGAGAAUGUUUCAGAGUAGCAACCGCAUUAGUCUGUAUUCACAAAAAGAACAGGAGUACUUGUGGCAUCUUAGAGACUAACAAAUUUAUUUGACCAUAAGCUUUCGUGAGCUACAGCUCACUUCAUCGGAUGCACAUUAGAAGCUGCUCUCCAUACCCUUUGGCAGGGGGUCGGGGCCGUUGCCAAAUAUGCAGCAGAAUUCCAUUGUCCGGCCGCAGACACUCAUUGGAAUGAGUCUGGGCUGUGACACCCCUUUAGGCAGGGGCUCAGCAAUUCUAUCAAAGAUGAAUUAGCAUGGGUGGAACCUCCGCCUAGUCUAGCAGCUUUAAUUGAUAUUUGCAUCCAGACUGAUGGUUGACCAAUGGAGCAAUCUCAAGAAAAGCGACACGCCACCUGAACCCUGCUGGCCAGAAUGCUUCUGUCUCCCACAGUCCCAGUUGACCUACCAGAUCCCGAACCAAUGCAAGUCAACCAAAUCCUGGCCCACCUUUCCACUGAUGAAAAGAAUUGUCCUCAGGCAUUGGGGUUGUGCUUGUAUUGGGGCGGGUGAUGGGUUGGACCCCUUGGGAAGCCACCUCAUGUUCUGAGAUAUCACUGAGUCUACCUGUUCUGCUACCAUAGGCCCCUUUAACCUGUCUUGCUGAGCCAGGCUCUUAAAACCUCCUCUAACACACACACAAGCAGGGCCACACCCAGCUGCAGAUCAGCUCUGGGAAGACUAAGGGCAUGGCUACACUUGCAGAUAUAGAGCGCUUUGAAUUAAACCAGCCUUUGGAGAGUGCAGUAGGGAAAGUGCUGCAGUCUGUCCACACGGACAGCUUCAAGCACAUUUGCGGCACUUGCAGCAGCAUUGGGCAGUUAUCCCAGCUUGCAAGUGACUGCAACGUGGUUUUCAAAUGGGGGAGGGUGUGACAGGGAGUGUGUUGUGUGUAUGUGGGGGGAGAGAGAGUGGGGUUUUGGGGGGGCUGAGAGCAUGUCAGCAUGCUGUCUUGUAAGUUCAGACUGCAGCAGACCCCUCCCCCCCCCUGCCUCUCUCUCACACACACACAGCAUUCCACACUAAUGGUUGCUUUUUCUCGGAGCAGAUAAGCAGCCAGCUGUCAGAAACGGAGCUUUCAAAGGGCACAUCUGUACUCCUGCAGUGAUUCAAAAACAAUGACCAGAGUGGCCACUUGACUUAAGGGGAUUAUGGGACGUUUCCGAAGGCUGAUCAGAGUGCAGUAAUGCAACACCUCUUCCAUACUGGCGCCGCGGCGCUCCAGCGGGGGCGCAGCAAACAUUAUUCCACUCGCUGAGGUGGAGCACCAGCAGCACUGUAGCUGCGAAGUCAGAGCGCUGUACAUGCCUUGCCAGUGUGGAAGGGGAGUGAGCUAGUGUGCCCGGGGCUCCUUUAUUGUGCUGUAACUCACAAGUGUAGCCAAGCCCUCAGCUUCAGGGACAUGCUUCAGCACUCAGAUGUCCACCUCUCUUGGAGUGCAGACCCAAAGAUAUAUUAUGAAAUUCGCCCUCCCCCACCAUGUGGAGAGAAGUGUACACACUUCUUACCCCCCAGUUAGAAAUUACAGAAACUGGGUUUAAUAAUAAAACAAAUUUUAUUAACUGUAAAAGGCAGCUUUUAAGUGGUAAAAGGGGUAACAAAUAGAACAAAGGAGAUUACUAAGCAAAUGAAAUCAAACACACAAACUAAGCUAGUUUCACUAAAGGAAUUGGUUGCAAAUAGUAUUUCUCACCCUAGAUAUUGUUGCAGGCAGUUUGCAAAGUUUCUGUGGUUCAUAGUUCCAGUUAUAUUCCAUUUCAGACUGGACCCCUUUCUCAUUCUGGAUUCCCCCCUUGCCUUCCCUUUGCAGUCUUUCUUGGGCAGACAGGCCAUGGAGGGGAAGAGUCCUGUUUGCCUUCAUCCCCACUCAUUUACAUAAGGUGGGAAUCCUUUGUUUCCCAAACUUGACCCCCCUUCCCUUACAGUGGAAAGUUAUCAGAAGUCCCAGGUAAUGUUUUAGUAUCAGGUGACAAGACCACCUGACUCUGUAAUAUCUGAAUGCAUCCGAUGAAGUGAGCUGUAGCUCAUGAAAGCUUAUGCGCAAAUAAAUUUGUUAGUCUCUAAGGUGCCACAAGUCCUCCUUUUCUUUUUGUAGUAUCACUGCGUCCAUAGAGUCGGGGCAGUAUGGAGCAUCCACAGGAAGACCAAGCUUUUCACAGUCCAUUGUCCUUGCUGAUAGGCCAUCCGCCCUGUCUGGCUUUUCCAUUGUUGUAACUGAAGUGUUAGCAGUGGGCGUCACCCAAAGUAGAUUUGUUGAAAUACAGAUAUAUAGUCAAUAUUCCAAACUUCAGAUACAGAAAUGGUACAGGCAUACAAAUUGGAUAAUCGAUUCAGUAAAUCAUAACCUUUCCAAUGAUAUCUCACAUGAGCCAUCUUGCAUAAAGUAUAUCUCAGUUAUGUCAUAUUCAUGUCAUAAGCAUAUUUUCAUAAAUAAUAUGGAAUAACACGUCACACUGGGUGCCUGGGCACAUUGUAUCAGAGUGCCUGGCCAAGGUCUGGGCCACCCUGUCAGGAAAUGCCAGAACCCAGCCCCAGUAGGGGAGCUAGGGUUGAGUCAGUGCUCCACUGCUCCCCACAGUGAAUCGUGCUGCUGCCUAUCUGCCUGAAUCUUGGCAUCCUUUAACCAGCAUGCCACCCCACUGCAUCUGCCUCUUCAGCUUCAGCAUUCUGCCAUGCCAGAUGUCCACCUAGGAGCCUUGGUCGGCUUGGGCUCUUCUGGCAAUUUUAUGGACCAGAACUUGAAGGAGCCUCAAAUUCCCAUCCUCUGCAAGGACUUCCCCGAGCUUGUUGAGCUUAUAGACAGGUCAUUCCUAUCUUCAGGCCCCAUCAUGCAUCAGACAACCCAUCUAGAGGGCAUCAGCAUUUUGGCAAUCACCCGAGAGAUCUGGCAGUUCAGGGUCAUCUGCGCUUCGCCUUCCCAAUCUAGUCAAUGGCUGGUCGCAUUCUGUGGCAUGCUCCAGCCCCUGAAGGAUCCAGAAUUGCCAACCAAAGUUUCAUUGGCAGUGCCUGGAAUUCCUGCCGAAUACGUAGAAUAUGUCACAGUAUUUGACAAACAGAAGGCAGACACUCUACUUCCUCAGCACAGUGACGACUGCACAAUUGACCUUCAACCAGGAACACCGAGUUCCUUUUGGGUGCAUUUACACCUUAUCUGUACCUGAGCUGCAGGCCCUUAAGGAAAAUCUGCAGAAGAGGUUCAUUGUCCCUUGACUUCCCGAGUGGCAGCACCUAUCUUCUUCAUGGCCAGGAAGGAUGGCUCCCUCUCUUGUAGUGAUUAUUAAACUUUUAGCAAGAUCACAGUCUGCAACUGAUGCCCCCUUUCAUAAAUGAACUCCUGUAAAGACUCCGGGUCGGAUCUUCACAAAGAAAGACUGGCAUGGGGCAUACAACUUGUCAGAAUCCAGCAAGGGAAUGUGUGAUUCUGAUGGACCAGGGGCCAGCUCAUGCCAAGGCCCUUAGGUCUCAACUGAACACUGGUAAAUAUGUAGCUGGAACCAGUCUGGCUCAUCCAUGUGUUAGUAUUGUUAAAGUAGGUAUUAGAGUUAUUAAAAUGUGUUGCUGAUCCAAUAUAAUAUCUGUAUCCUAUGUUCCAAGGUAACAAGUGUUCGCUCUGUAACUUUAACGCACCAGACAGACAAGAAGCAUUACCAAGUGUGAAAUACUAGCUUGUCACAGGCGGUGUUCUCUCUUGCCCAACAAAAGAAGUCCCAUCAACACCAGAGGAACUGUUGUGGAACAUCAGAGGACAAUUACUUUGUUGAUUGCCGCCCUUUUGCCCCCCACCCCCACCCCCCGCCUUGAAGAAGAGACCAGCAGCUGGGUAGAAGGGGAGAAGGAAUAAAAAGCCCUAACAAGGAGGAACUGUAUCUGCUGCUUGGAGUCUGAGGAGUGGGAAAUACUAAGCAUAAGCAAAAGAUCCCCACUGGUUGGCCUGGAUUAGCCCUAAGGGCAUAGAGCUUGCUUAUUAUAGAAGCUUCUAUUACCUUUUGAAACUUAAGACAGGAACACAUUUGUGUGUAUGUUUACCUGCUUUAACCUUGUAAAUACUCUAUUUCCUUUGCCUAGUUAAUAAAUCUUUAGAUAGUUUAUUUUAGGAUUGGUAAGACCCUUUGUUUUCAGUUUAAACCGAUUUUUAUUGAAAAAUUCCCAGGUUUUAAAAAUAGGAUUAUUCAGUUUUUUCUGAUUUUCAUUCUGCUUUUGUAUCAUUCAAAUAUAUAAAAAAAUAACUAGUUUUAUUACGAAAAUACUAUACAUUCCAUAAGCUAUAUGUAUUACAAUAAUACAUUAGUCUGUGUGUAUAUGCAAAGCUGUCUGUUGAAGUAAGGCUAUGUAUUGGUCUAGAAGAUACAAGCAAAGAGGCACACACAUAAGCUCCGAAGUGUGUGUGCAUCUGAACAUACUGGUGAAUCUCACACCCACCACCAGGUACAUGUGUCAAGCUGUUAGCAGAUAACGGUUUAAAGAUCUGACACACUAAAAUAGAAAGAAAACAAAAAUCUAUCAGAAUAUGUUUCAGAACACAAGGAAGUAUUCGAAAGUUUUAAAAAAAGAAACAGGAGAAAAGGAUGAAGGUGAGUGUAUGUGCUGCCAAUUGUGAAGCCCAAUUAUUAAAUGUAAAUAUUUAAAGACUAA